UACGAAGGGGGCUAGCGUUGCUCGGAAUUACUGGGCGUAAAGGGCGCGUAGGCGGAUGUUUAAGUCGGGGGGUGAAAGCCCGGGGCUCAACCCCGGAAUUGCCUUCGAUACUGGACAUCUUGAGUACGGGAGAGGUGAGUGGAACUCCGAGUGUAGAGGUGAAAUUCGUAGAUAUUCGGAAGAACACCAGUGGCGAAGGCGGACUCACUGGCCCGUUACUGACGCUGAGGCGCGAAAGCGUGGG
This 244-nucleotide ribosomal RNA is filed under the name uncultured bacterium. Its description in RNAcentral is "partial 16S ribosomal RNA". It matches the Rfam family "Bacterial small subunit ribosomal RNA", at positions 524 to 765 of the family's 1533-position model. The record is from RNAcentral.